Long non-coding RNA from Xenia sp. Carnegie-2017, 254 nucleotides. RefSeq lists it as uncharacterized. The transcript is spliced from 3 exons. Lineage: Eukaryota; Metazoa; Cnidaria; Anthozoa; Malacalcyonacea; Xeniidae. The record is from RefSeq and is a predicted model, not a curated record.
GUGAACACUGCCAUCUAUGGUUGAUCUGCCCACCGAGCUGCGGGCAUAAAAUUCAUUUAUCUUUAGUAGAAGAGAGGCUUGGGGAGUGCUUGCCAUUUCAAUGUCCCAUAUGCUUAUGUUUUGACGAAGAAGUCGACAGAUUUCUCGAAGAUUUUUUUGAUAACCUCCUGCGAUGGCCACUGGACGUCUAUUUUGGGCAGCGAUUUCACGAAUCAUAAAACCUUUCACUUUUAAUAAAGUUUCAUUUUGUCCUG